UAAAAUAAACAUAAUCUUGAG
Molecule: non-coding RNA, 21 nt
Filed under: Caenorhabditis elegans
Lineage: Eukaryota; Metazoa; Nematoda; Chromadorea; Rhabditida; Rhabditidae
Source: RNAcentral